This 71-nucleotide transfer RNA is filed under the name Cordylochernes scorpioides. RNAcentral describes it as "tRNA-Gly". Lineage: Eukaryota; Metazoa; Arthropoda; Arachnida; Pseudoscorpiones; Chernetidae. The record is from RNAcentral.
UGCAUCGGCCGAGAAUCGAACUCGGCCCGCCCGCGUGGCAGGCGAGCAUUCUACCACUGAACCACCGAUGG